GAGGGUGUAGCUCAGUGGUAGAGCACGUGCUUCCUAUGCAUGAGUCCUGGGUUCCACCCCAAUAUCUCA
RNAcentral lists this transfer RNA (69 nucleotides) under Camelus bactrianus (Bactrian camel). It matches the Rfam family "tRNA". From Rfam's summary of the family: Transfer RNA (tRNA) molecules are approximately 80 nucleotides in length. Their secondary structure includes four short double-helical elements and three loops (D, anti-codon, and T loops). Further hydrogen bonds mediate the characteristic L-shaped molecular structure. tRNAs have two regions of fundamental functional importance: the anti-codon, which is responsible for specific mRNA codon recognition, and the 3' end, to which the tRNAs corresponding amino acid is attached (by aminoacyl-tRNA synthetases). tRNAs cope with the degeneracy of the genetic code in two manners: having more than one tRNA (with a specific anti-codon) for a particular amino acid; and 'wobble' base-pairing, i.e. permitting non-standard base-pairing at the 3rd anti-codon position. The record is from Rfam by way of RNAcentral. RNAcentral also lists the same sequence under 2 other names. Lineage: Eukaryota; Metazoa; Chordata; Mammalia; Artiodactyla; Camelidae.